RNAcentral lists this ribosomal RNA (378 nucleotides) under uncultured eukaryote. Its description in RNAcentral is "partial 18S ribosomal RNA". It matches the Rfam family "Eukaryotic small subunit ribosomal RNA", at positions 592 to 976 of the family's 1831-position model. The record is from RNAcentral.
CAAUAGCGUAUAUUUAAGUUGUUGCAGUUAAAAAGCUCGUAGUUGGAUUUCGGGUGGGACGCAGCGGUCUCGCAUUGCGUUUGUACUGCUGCAGCCCUCCUUCUUGCCGGGGGCGGCCUCUCGGACUUCACUGUCUGGGGGUCAGAAUCGGCGAUGUUACUUUGAGUAAAUUAGAGUGUUCAAAGCAAGCUUACGCUCUGAAUAUAUUAGCAUGGAAUAACACGAUAGGACUCUGGCUUAUCUUGUUGGUCUGUGAGACCAGAGUAAUGAUUAAGAGGGACAGUCGGGGACAUUCGUAUUUCAUUGUCAGAGGUGAAAUUCUUGGAUUUAUGAAAGACGAACUUCUGCGAAAGCAUUUACCAAGGAUGUUUUCAUUAA